UUCGGCCUGGUGGCGAGUGGCGAACGGGUGAGUAAUAUAUCGGAACGUACCCAAGAGUGGGGGAUAACGUAGCGAAAGUUACGCUAAUACCGCAUACGAUCUACGGAUGAAAGUGGGGGAUCGCAAGACCUCAUGCUCCUGGAGCGGCCGAUAUCUGAUUAGCUAGUAGGUAGGGUAAUGGCCUACCUAGGCGACGAUCAGUAGCUGGUCUGAGAGGACGACCAGCCACACUGGAACUGAGACACGGUCCAGACUCCUACGGGAGGCAGCAGUGGGGAAUUUUGGACAAUGGGCGCAAGCCUGAUCCAGCAAUGCCGCGUGAGUGAAGAAGGCCUUCGGGUUGUAAAGCUCUUUUGUCAGGGAAGAAACGGUCGUGGCUAAUAUCCAUGGCUAAUGACGGUACCUGAAGAAUAAGCACCGGCUAACUACGUGCCAGCAGCCGCGGUAAUACGUAGGGUGCAAGCGUUAAUCGGAAUUACUGGGCGUAAAGCGUGCGCAGGCGGUUUUGUAAGUCUGUCGUGAAAGCCCCGGGCUCAACCUGGGAAUUGCGAUGGAGACUGCAAGGCUUGAAUCUGGCAGAGGGGGGUAGAAUUCCACGUGUAGCAGUGAAAUGCGUAGAGAUGUGGAGGAACACCGAUGGCGAAGGCAGCCCCCUGGGUCAAGAUUGACGCUCAUGCACGAAAGCGUGGGGAGCAAACAGGAUUAGAUACCCUGGUAGUCCACGCCCUAAACGAUGUCUACUAGUUGUCGGGUUUUAAUUAACUUGGUAACGCAGCUAACGCGUGAAGUAGACCGCCUGGGGAGUACGGUCGCAAGAUUAAAACUCAAAGGAAUUGACGGGGACCCGCACAAGCGGUGGAUGAUGUGGAUUAAUUCGAUGCAACGCGAAAAACCUUACCUACCCUUGACAUGUCAGGAACCUCCGAGAGAUUGGAGGGUGCCCGAAAGGGAACCUGAACACAGGUGAUGCAUGGCUGUAGUCAGCUUGUGUCGUGAGAUGUUGGGUUAAGUCCCGCAACGAGCGCAACCCUUGUCAUUAGUUGAUACGCAAGAGCACUCUAAUGAGACUGCCGGUGACAAACCGGAGGAAGGUGGGGAUGACGUCAAGUCCUCAUGGCCCUUAUGGGUAGGGCUUCACACGUCAUACAAUGGUACAUACAGAGGGCCGCCAACCCGCGAGGGGGAGCUAAUCCCAGAAAGUGUAUCGUAGUCCGGAUCGCAGUCUGCAACUCGACUACGUGAAGUUGGAAUCGCUAGUAAUCGCGGAUCAGCAUGCCGCGGUGAAUACGUUCCCGGGUCUUGUACACACCGCCCGUCACACCAUGGGAGCGGGUUUUACCAGAAGUAGGUAG
This 1352-nucleotide ribosomal RNA is filed under the name Massilia sp. ZQW-1. RNAcentral's name for it is "bacterial SSU rRNA". It matches the Rfam family "Bacterial small subunit ribosomal RNA", at positions 79 to 1433 of the family's 1533-position model. Lineage: Bacteria; Pseudomonadati; Pseudomonadota; Betaproteobacteria; Burkholderiales; Oxalobacteraceae. The record is from RNAcentral.